CGUAGUUGGGAGUCUGCCAGGUGCCGCCUGUCCGCCCCAGUGGUGAGUACGUGGCGCGCAUUUGGCCCUUUCAAGGGGAGCGUAUUGCACUUAACUGUGUGGUGCGGGAUCCUUGACUUUUACUUUGAGGAAAUAAGAGUGUUCCAAGCAGGCUCUCGUCGUGCAUAGCUCAGCAUGGAAUAAUAGCAUUGGAUCUCGAUUCCAAACUGUUGGUUGUAGGAAACGAGAUAAUGAUGAAGAGGGAUAGUUGGGGGCAUUCGUAUUUAACUGUCAGAGGUGAAAUUCUUGGAUUUGUUAAAGACGAACUACUGCGAAAGCAUCUGCCAUGGAUGUUUUCAUUGAUCAAGAACGAAAGUUAGGGGAUCGAAGACGAUCAGAUACCGUCCUAGUCUUAACUAUAAACCAUGC
Molecule: ribosomal RNA, 408 nt
Filed under: uncultured eukaryote
Lineage: Eukaryota
Description: SSU rRNA
Rfam family: Eukaryotic small subunit ribosomal RNA
Source: RNAcentral